UGGUGGGGACACUGUUGGGACCGCCUCUGCUAAAGAGGAGGAAGGAAUGGGCAACGGUAGGUCAGCAUGCCCCGAAUUAUCUGGGCUACACGCGGGCUACAAUGGGUGGGACAAUGGGUAUCGACACCGAAAGGUGAAGGCAAUCUCCUAAACCCAUCCGUAGUUCGGAUUGUGGGCUGCAACUCGCCCACAUGAAGCUGGAAUCUGUAGUAAUCGUGUCUCAAAAUGGCACGGUGAAUAUGUCCCUGCUCCUU
RNAcentral lists this ribosomal RNA (254 nucleotides) under uncultured Methanomicrobiales archaeon. RNAcentral describes it as "partial 16S ribosomal RNA". It matches the Rfam family "Archaeal small subunit ribosomal RNA", at positions 1085 to 1338 of the family's 1478-position model. The record is from RNAcentral. Lineage: Archaea; Methanobacteriati; Methanobacteriota; Methanomicrobia; Methanomicrobiales.